UACGAAGGGAGCUAGCGUUGUUCGGAAUUACUGGGCGUAAAGGGCCAGUAGGCGGCCAACUAAGUCCGACGUGAAAUCCCCAGGCUUAACCUGGGAACUGCGUCGGAUACUGGAUGGCUUGAAUUCGGGAGAGGGAUGCAGAAUUCCAGGUGUAGCGGUGAAAUGCGUAGAUAUCUGGAGGAAUACCGGUGGCGAAGGCGGCAUCCUGGACCGACAUUGACGCUGAACGGCGAAAGCUAGGGGAGCAAACGGG
This 253-nucleotide ribosomal RNA is filed under the name uncultured bacterium. Its description in RNAcentral is "partial 16S ribosomal RNA". It matches the Rfam family "Bacterial small subunit ribosomal RNA", at positions 524 to 776 of the family's 1533-position model. The record is from RNAcentral.